AAAGAAAGAAAUAAAGAAGCAAUUGAAGAAACUUAAAUAUACCUAAGAGGAUUUUAAUUUCUCACAUUCAGUGUUUCUUUUAUAUAUAGACCACUAGUACACAGUAAUAUUACAAGUAAUCUAUUUAAUUUUACUUUACAGCCCUAUUAAAAUUUGCUCACUUACUGCAGAAAGAUCUGAAAUCACAAGGAAUGGAUUUCCAAAAACAUAGGCAGUGUUGCUUAUUGACAUCAAUUAGGAUAAGUAUUUUAUGCCUCAAUACUGUUCCAAAUUAGCACCUAAAUGUUCUAUAAAUGUGACUAAGGAGCCACCGCUUGUGAAAUGCAGCAGCCAGAUGUCAUGCCAGAUGAAGGCAAUAACCUCUUCCAACAAAAGCUACCACCAGAUGCUUUAGAGAGCCAUUUCUCAACUGAGGGCCAUAAUAUCAGGGAGGUCACAAAAAUUAAGUGGAGGUGGUUCAUUAGUGUUAUUCCAAAUUCUGGCCUUUCUCUGGGCAGAAUAAAUACUGACAAGCUCUCAGUACAUGCACAAUACAAUUAUCUAAUGCUAUUAACUGGUUGUUACUGUUGUUCUCCUCUGAUUUUUACAGCACGAGUGAUGGAAUUACUUUUUAAACUUCAAGUAAGUUGUCUCUAGUACAAACAUUGCAGGUCAUACUGAAGAAAUAUUACUGCUUGGAAAUGCAAAAUCAGCUGUGAUUGCUGCAACAUGUCCCACAAUUCUCUGCUAGUGACUGAUGGGUUUUAUUCACUUGCUUUGCAGUAACACCUUGAAGGCCUCUGGGAGUGAUUGUGCCAUUUCAUCCAUGCUGCAAAUCUCUGGAGGUGAAACCAAACUACAUCACGUCAAUGCAUGGCCCUUAAUGACUCAAGUUUAAAAGCAGCAAAUCAAGUGAAGACAGCAACAAAGAAAAGGCAGCAUACAUAACAGUUAAUUUGACUGUACUAGGUCAAGAGGAUGUUGCUGGACUGAAAAGGAAGCAGGGCCUUCUUUCACUGAGAACUACUCUAACUCCACACUUGCCAAGCACAGAGCCAAAACCAGAAGGGACAUCUAGCUUGUGGUAUUGGCAUUUGUUUUCCAAAGACAGCCUUGGCACAGUCACACCUAUACAUGACUUGCAGGUCAUUGUAAUUUAAAUAUUGUGGGUCAUGCAUGGCUGAACAGCUGAAAAGCAUUCCAGAUGUGAUUCAGAAGUGCUACUGAGUAUCAAAUGAUGUUUCAAGCCCAGCUCUCUCAGUGUAAAUUAGAAACAAAAGGAGGAAAAGCACCUGUUACUGAGACACUUGUCCCUUGCAUUUAUUCCAGUUGGGUCUCAUGACCUCCUGAGUUCUGCAGCCUGGAGUUCUGCAAUGAUAACAGAUCUUUGUGCUUUCUGCUGGCUAGAAUUCCAGCUCCUUUGGGGAACAAGGAAAGUAAGUGUUUUUCUACUACUAGAAGAAGUAUUUCCAAACUGAUUAAGGUCUGACUGAACUCUGGAAAAUGUAGAAAAAGAAGUUGUAUCCAUAUGCAUUUGUAACACAGAUUCUAGAAGACAACAUAAGGAAGAAAAUUUAACUGCACAAGGGACAGCAUCUAGAAUAUCUCCAGUUUUAAUCCCUGGAAGUUACACAACCAGCAGAUGAAGGCUGUGCUACAACAAAACAAUUAAGCUGGAGAAUAAAUGUAUUGAGUCAUGCAGAUUGACAACACCUUGACCUUUUGCUUUCCCACAUAUUAGGCACUGGAUGAAGCAGUAAUGCCACCGAAGUCAAAAGCAAAAUUUAUGCAAUUUCCAUGAGAACAGGAUUUAAACCAAGAGUUCUUGAAAUGGGAGAGCAUGAGUAAAGACAGUCUAUUUCCUUCACAGAGAGAAAUCUGUCUUUCCUGACUCCAAAGUGUGACCACUCUGCCAGGAAUGGAAACUGUAUAACUCUGGAAGUCUUCCAGAUUGACAUUAAAAUUCAAGACAUCAAUAUUUCUUCUCUAAGUGAAUAUAAUAAUGAUAUACUCCGAAUAUGCUGAAAACAAAGUCAGUUAACAAAACCCGAAACUUAUUCCAGGAAUACUUAUUUUCAAGAUCUCCCAGAGGUGCUGUCUUCCCUCUGCAGCAAAGUCUGCCUUUGCUCCCAGGCUUUGGUAAGUGCUGGACACAAGCAAUGACUGUGGUUUCACUGCUUCCAUGGCAACAGAAAGGAUACUGCAGAAGCAGGGACCAGUGUUACAUCACUGAAUAAACCAACUUGAAAAAGCAGUAUGAAAUAUUAUGACAAAGAUUUAGAG
Cyanistes caeruleus (blue tit) is the source of this 2262-nucleotide non-coding RNA. The record is from RefSeq and is a predicted model, not a curated record. Lineage: Eukaryota; Metazoa; Chordata; Aves; Passeriformes; Paridae.